GACUGGAAGUGACUUCGUACAUUGCUGGACGCACAAAAAAGUCAUGUUGGGAUGUAUUUGUACAGCAUCAUCAUCUGUUAAAGGGGCUUGGUGAAGGUCCUGAUCUUAGUGAACUCACCAUUCAGAAUGUAGAACGUUUUUUCUGCAAACUGUAUGGAGCAAUGAAUGUUAACAACAACGACAUUCAAGUAAGCAUGUUUGUGAAGGGCAUGACAAUAGAAAGACUGCCACCAACCAGAGAUUCUCUCUACUUCCACAUUCAGCGUUCUCACUUCCAGGCUUUGGUCUGGCGGCAGGCCCACAUGCAGCAGCCAAUUUUGCCACCACCUGAGACCAUGGGAUGGAAAAUGGAGGAAAGUUCACUUGUUCCUCAACUCAUGUCACUACCUCCGGUUCCGGAUGCUUGUGAGGAGUUUCUCUCCUGUGGCUGCACCAAAGGAUGCAAGACAGCUAGAUGCAGUUGUAAGCCUAACCCAUGUACUGCUGCUAGCAAAUGCAGAAUGUCAUGUGAUACUUGUAUGAAUCAAUAAUAAGUAAAAAUAACAUUUCAGAAAACUGAGUUUUACGGUGAUAUCUAUGUUUAUCUAUUCAUACGGUGGUGUUUUGAAAGUGACUGAGAUGCAUAUUGUUUCAGUACAAAAUAUUAAGAACUGGUACCCUAAUGAAUAUGUUAUAUAUGUUAUAAAUUUAGAUU
Long non-coding RNA from Alosa sapidissima (American shad), 694 nucleotides. RefSeq lists it as uncharacterized. The record is from RefSeq and is a predicted model, not a curated record. Lineage: Eukaryota; Metazoa; Chordata; Actinopteri; Clupeiformes; Clupeidae. The transcript has 3 exons.